Molecule: ribosomal RNA, 504 nt
Filed under: uncultured organism
Description: SSU rRNA
Rfam family: Bacterial small subunit ribosomal RNA
Source: RNAcentral
AGAGUUUGAUCCUGGCUCAGGAUGAACGCUAGCGGCAGGCCUAAUACAUGCAAGUCGUACGGUAAGACACCCUUCGGGGUGUUGAGAGUGGCGGACGGGUGCGUAACGCGUAUGCAACCAACCCCCGACGGGCGGACAGCCGGUGGAAACGCCGGAUAAUACGCCAUGCGGCUGUCCAGGGGCAUCCCUGGGCGGUCAAAGCCUUGGCGGUCGGGGACGGGCAUGCGUGCCAUUAGAUGGUCGGCGGGGUAACGGCCCACCGAGCCCGCGAUGGGUAGGGGUACUGAGAGGUAGGUCCCCCCACACUGGAACUGAGACACGGUCCAGACUCCUACGGGAGGCAGCAGUGAGGAAUAUUGGUCAAUGGGGGCAACCCUGAACCAGCCAAGUAGCGUGGAGGAUGACGGCCCUACGGGUUGUAAACUCCUUUUAUGCGGGGGUAAGGUGCGCCACGGGUGGUGUAUUGCAAGUACCGCAUGAAUAAGCAUCGGCUAACUCCGUGCC